UCCACUCCCACCCACUCCUGGAAGAGAAGCUCAGAAGAAAUGUAGCUUUUUGUUUCUAAGUAAAGUGGGAGAUUUGAGUAAAGAAGCUCAGAAGGAGUGAAGAAGCUCAGAAGCUCAGAAGAAAAGGGUAGUUUUUUGUUUCUAAGUAAAGUGGCGAUGUUUUGGCUGCAGCAGGUAUUAUUAUCCCCACAUGUUGCCAUAGCUUUUUGCUUUAUUUAUGUUUUCUUCGUGAGGCAGAAAUUUUUUUUUUAUUUUUUUAUCUAGAAUGAAGCGUGAUAGUGGGGGGAGAAACGGCAGCACAAGCUGCCGUUUCUCUCGCCCUUCUCUCGUCAUUCUAGCCACUAAGCAUUUUCCUUCGGGGCAAAUGCCACGAUGAGACAACGCGUGAUACUUUUUUCAAUUCGCUUGCUCUAAAUAUCCAAACAGUGCAGAAAUUGACUCCAAAAAUAACUUGGUUUUCUAUUCUUAGUUGGAUCAGAACCGAUUGGAUUAUGCAUAAUAUAACUCCAAUGACCACACUUUAUGUGACAGUGUGGUGAAGGGCAGGAAAUGCCAACUUGGUUUGAUGAUGGGAAUGCCAGUUCAAACAAGUGCUGGCAAUGGCAGAUGCCACCUAGUGAAAUUUCAUUCUUUUCAGACGGAGAACAGAACACUGGAGGCAAUGAAUUCUAUCAGGAAGUGAUCAACCAACCAGAUCCUCCUAUCUUUGAGGUCAACAUUCUUGAAGAAUCAAUCGAUGAAGCAUUAGUCGUUGAUGAAUUUCGUAUUAACCCAAGACCUUGUCAAGUUCACCAUAUACAAAAAUCCCGGCAUCCCAUAGAAUAGAAAUGUGCUCCUGAAAGACAUCAAUUGCAGGGUCAAGUUUCAAGCAUAGCAAUAUUCGAAGAUAUUUAAAAUGCAGCACCGGAAAGCGAAAACAUCAAAACAAUUUCUCCACAAACUUCACGAUUGAAUCCUCAUUAGAUUGUACAAUGUGUGUGUGUGUGUGUGUGCGCGGGCCGCGCGUGUGUGAUAUAUACGUAUAAAGAUUUUAAACUCCACAAAAUUUAUGUUUGCAGGUGAGAGCAGCUGCACCGCACGUUAGUGAUCUAAGUUUGAGGUCCAGUGAGUCAGAUGCCAGAAAUAGAAGGGGUUCUUUUCUUCUUCUGGUGAGGACUCCAUUUGACCUUACAACUAAUCCACCAUCAGUUUGCAUUCGCUAUAUGCUUGUCAGUUCCAUUUCGAUCAUUUUCUUUACUUAAGAAUGGCCUCUCUUCUCGGGGCUAUGCUAUUCUUACCCGACGGCACGUCUCAUGAUGAUGCUGCUUGUGCUACUAUCCUCGCUUAGAGUUUCGAAAUCCUAGUGUCAUUUACCAUAAAAUAAAAAUAAAAGUAUGAAAAGUCCUGAAUCGUGAUGUUGAAUGUAAAUUUCUGCG
Molecule: long non-coding RNA, 1415 nt
Filed under: Citrus maxima (pomelo)
Lineage: Eukaryota; Viridiplantae; Streptophyta; Magnoliopsida; Sapindales; Rutaceae
Description: long non-coding RNA (CMAX_LNC002624)
Source: RNAcentral